This 60-nucleotide transfer RNA is filed under the name Oxalobacteraceae bacterium IMCC9480. It matches the Rfam family "tRNA", at positions 1 to 58 of the family's 71-position model. Rfam says of the family: Transfer RNA (tRNA) molecules are approximately 80 nucleotides in length. Their secondary structure includes four short double-helical elements and three loops (D, anti-codon, and T loops). The record is from Rfam by way of RNAcentral. Lineage: Bacteria; Pseudomonadati; Pseudomonadota; Betaproteobacteria; Burkholderiales; Oxalobacteraceae.
UCCCUGAUAGCUCAGUUGGUAGAGCGACGGACUGUUAAUCCGCAGGUCCCUGGUUCGAGU